CAGGCGCGAAACCUUUACACUGCACGACAGUGCGAUAAGGGGAUCCCGAGUGCGCAGGCAUAGAGCCCUCGCUUUUGUCCACCGUAAGGAGGUACAGGAAUAAGGGCUGGGCAAGACCGGUGCCAGCCGCCGCGGUAAUACCGGCAGCUCGAGUGAUGGCCGAUUUUAUUGGGCCUAAAGCGUCCGUAGCCGGCCGCGCAAGUCCAUUGGGAAAUCCACCCGCCCAACGGGUGGGCGUCCGGCGGAAACUGUGUGGCUUGGGACCGGAAGGCUCGAAGGGUACGUCCGGGGUAGGAGUGAAAUCCCGUAAUCCCGGACGGACCACCGAUGGCGAAAGCACCUCGGGAAGACGGAUCCGACAGUGAGGGACGAAAGCUAGGGUCUCGAACCGGAUUAGAUACCCGGGUAGUCCUAACCGUAAACCAUGUUCCCUAGGUGUGGCACCCGCUACGAGUCCCGCUGUACCGUAGCAAGCCGUAACCGAACCGCUUGU
Molecule: ribosomal RNA, 493 nt
Filed under: uncultured archaeon
Lineage: Archaea
Description: bacterial SSU rRNA
Rfam family: Archaeal small subunit ribosomal RNA
Source: RNAcentral